This is a long non-coding RNA of Triticum aestivum (bread wheat), 1744 nucleotides long. RefSeq lists it as uncharacterized. The transcript is spliced from 3 exons. The record is from RefSeq and is a predicted model, not a curated record. NCBI's taxonomy places the organism in Eukaryota, Viridiplantae, Streptophyta, Magnoliopsida, Poales, Poaceae.
CUGAAGCCAGGUCGCACUGGGUGCCACGCGCAUGUCUUCCUCUCCCCCACACGCCUCCUGCUAUUCCUCCUCGCAAAUCCUAGCAGCGGCGGCGGCUUGAUGCGGGAGAUGGCAGUUGCGGCAGCACCCCAGCCGACAUCGAGCACACGGGACAUCCGCAUGUCGCUUCUUCGCAUUCUUCUCGUCCGCUGGUACACCGUGGGGAAGCAACGACUAUGGCUUCACAGGUAAGCCAGCCUCGUCCACAACCUUGUUCCUGUCUCCUUCCUUUUUGAUCAUCUCGUCCACAAGGAAGCGACGGCCGCGGUGCGGACAAUCGACGGAAAGUAGGCAGGGAAGAUUCGAUGGUGGAGCCACGGUGGAUGAAGCAACGACGCACAUGAGCUUUCUCGCACAGCCAGCUUGCUGCAGUUAAUGAAGAACGAGAUAGCUUAUGGAAGGACCAUGCUAUAUUGCUACUUUGACUGAAUAAAUGGAUGCGAAUGCUAGAGCCAUACAAGUAAACUCUUGGAGCAUGAACAAAAAUUAUCUGCUUAUGUCGGCAUUUUGGGAAUGAGGGUACCCAGACUUGCCUACCUACGGCCCAUGGCAUGGCUCUGUCGAUGGCCUGGUACGGUCCAUAUUCAGCACCAACAACACAAGACCCUCAUGAGGUGGACGACGCCAAGACCUCCAAAAGGAGCGGCCUCCUUAGGCUGGCUCCUGAGGAGCAAAGAUUUCUAUGCAAGCCCUCACCUCGUGAGGUUCGGAUGACGCAAGCCAUGACGACCGAGGCCAGACGGGCGCCAACGGGCGCAAUACAACAGGCUUCCUCUUUGGUGGUAAAGAGGCAAGUGCAGGCGCGGAGUCCUGAGAAAUCGGCCAAAGGUUUCCAUUUCUAUGCAACAUGACCAAGACCGCCAGGACGGCAGGACGGAGGUCAUCGCCAAGCCCACCACGGCGUCACGACCAGAAACUUUGUAGGCAAAGACCACCUUUCGUUGGGAUAAGAUGUACUAAUUGUCUCCCUUCGAAUUUGGCCGUUGUGGGAUCCCUUCUCGCCUUCAUUUUGGGGGAAGAGGACCAAUGCCACUAUAAAUAUAGCCUAGCCACCACCAAAGCAGGGGGACGAAGCAGAGGGGACAAGGCAGAGACGAUGAGGCAGAGACAGACGGAUCAUUUAGACCAUCAUCUCCCUCACCAGCACAAGAACACACCUCCUAAGGUUGUUCUCCCACUAUACUAGUUCAUCCUCAGCCCACCUUGAGGCCAAUCCACCACAAUGCAGGAGUAGGGUAUUACACCGCAAGGUGGCCCGAACCUGGGUAAACUGCCUUGUUCCAUUUCCUUCCAGUUCAUCGAGCUAGGCUGUGAGAUCGACGAUUUGGCAGACCCGGGAGGUUGAGUUCUUCGCACGCACCCUAGAAUUCGAAUCUAUCAAGGAUAUGCGGAGCCCAGAAUCUGACAUUUGGCACGCCAGGUAGGAGUGUGUCGGAGCCUCUCUUCCUCCGGUCGAUCCGCCACCAUUCUGUCGUCCCCAUGGCUGAUGCUCGUCGAGUUCGUGUUGAGCAUCAGGCCGCCCUCACCGCACGUGUCGCCCAUAUGGCGCCUGCGGGCGAUGGUGCUCCCCGCCAUUCCCCAUCGCCCGCGGCCAACGCCGCCACCAGCCCUGCGGCCCAUGAGCAGCAGGCUUCCUUGCUGCAGCCUUCUGUGCGGCCUGAUGGGCGCACUGCCACUCCGUCGCUGACUCCGGCGGCUGCUUCAU